AUGGCUCAUGGCGAUCAUCAAAACGAUGAUGAUGAUUUCAUGGAUCCACCACAGCGUAAUCGGGCAACUGGACGGAGAAAAGAGGGUGAUGAGAAGAAGAAACGUAUUCGCAACAGAGCCUCCCAAGAACGACUGACUGCGUUGACUGACAAAUUCACCGACGAUCAGAAGGGGGCUGCUGCUGAGAUGGGUAUGCAGUCUAUGAUGGAUGUCCGGUGCACGAACCUUGUCAACCCUGUAUGCGACUGGCUUGGUGAGAUCUACGACCCCGCCUCCAGGGAAUUCGUGAUUUCGGGACGUGGAAGACUACCGUUGAACGAGGAAUCCGUGUUCUGCACUUUGGGUGUGCCUCGUGGACAUAUGAAAGUCCCGUAUGAGGUCAACAAUGAGAUCAAGGAAGCGCUGUUCCCCCGUUUGUUUCCUGGGUCUGAAUCCAUGCCGAACACGUCUGCAGUGGCAGAUUCGCUGCAGGCCAUGACAACGCAUGGAGAUGUUUUCAAGAUGAAGCUACUCAUGUACCUCAUCUCAGCUGUUUUCGCGCCGACCAGCUCUCUUCGCCCAAGCAACAAAUGCUUCCCCAUCCUGGUGAAUGAUCCAUCUUUACUACUUUAUUUUCCUUUGAUCUUUUUGGCUUCGAUGUCAUGUGUAAAGCGGAUCUGGGAAAUGUGA
This 669-nucleotide ribosomal RNA is filed under the name Triticum aestivum (bread wheat). RNAcentral's name for it is "partial small subunit ribosomal RNA". The record is from RNAcentral. Lineage: Eukaryota; Viridiplantae; Streptophyta; Magnoliopsida; Poales; Poaceae.